This 452-nucleotide ribosomal RNA is filed under the name uncultured organism. RNAcentral describes it as "partial 16S ribosomal RNA". It matches the Rfam family "Bacterial small subunit ribosomal RNA", at positions 330 to 798 of the family's 1533-position model. The record is from RNAcentral.
CGUACACUCCUGCGGGAGGCAGCAGUGGGGAAUAUUAGACAAUGGGCGCAAGCCUGAUCCAGCCAUGCCGCGUGAGUGAUGAAGGCCCUAGGGUUGUAAAGCUCUUUCACCGGUGAAGAUAAUGACGGUAACCGGAGAAGAAGCCCCGGCUAACUUCGUGCCAGCAGCCGCGGUAAUACGAAGGGGGCUAGCGUUGUUCGGAUUUACUGGGCGUAAAGCGCACGUAGGCGGACUAUUAAGUCAGGGGUGAAAUCCCGGGGCUCAACCCCGGAACUGCCUUUGAUACUGGUAGUCUUGAGUUCGAGAGAGGUGAGUGGAAUUCCGAGUGUAGAGGUGAAAUUCGUAGAUAUUCGGAGGAACACCAGUGGCGAAGGCGGCUCACUGGCUCGAUACUGACGCUGAGGUGCGAAAGCGUGGGGAGCAAACAGGAUUAGAAACCCCGGUAGUCCCAU